UGUGGCAGAAAAGUGCUAUGGGUUUAAGCUCCAUCUAUGGGGGCCAUUCCCCCCAUUAAAA
This 61-nucleotide transfer RNA is filed under the name Enallagma concisum. RNAcentral describes it as "tRNA-Leu". RNAcentral also lists the same sequence under 2 other names. The record is from RNAcentral. Lineage: Eukaryota; Metazoa; Arthropoda; Insecta; Odonata; Coenagrionidae.